RNAcentral lists this ribosomal RNA (257 nucleotides) under uncultured bacterium. RNAcentral's name for it is "partial 16S ribosomal RNA". It matches the Rfam family "Bacterial small subunit ribosomal RNA", at positions 524 to 776 of the family's 1533-position model. The record is from RNAcentral.
UACGAAGGGGGCUAGCGUUGUUCGGAAUUACUGGGCGUAAAGCGCGCGCAGGCGGUCCUCCAAGUCAGUGGUGAAAGCCCGGAGCUCAACUCCGGAACUGCCAUUGAAACUGUGGGACUUGAGUAUGAGAGAGGUGAGUGGAAUUCCCGAGUGUAGAGGUGAAAUUCGUAGAUAUUGGGAAGAACACCGGUGGCGAAGGCGGCUACACUGGCUCAGUUACUGACGCUCAGGCGCGACAGCGUGGGGAGUCAAACAGG